GACGAACGCUGGCGGCGUGCUUAACACAUGCAAGUCGAACGGAAAGGCCCUGCCGUUGUGGGGUGCUCGAGUGGCGAACGGGUGAGUAACACGUGAGUAACCUGCCCUUUACGUUGGGAUAACUUCAGGCAACUGGGGAUAAUACCGGAUAGGAGCUCCUGCUGCAUUGUGGGGGAUGGAAAGUUUCGGCGGCUGGGGAUGGACUCGCGGCUUAUCAGCUUGUUGGUGGGGUAGUGUAGUACCAAGGCUUUGACGGGUAGCCGGCCUGAGAGGGUAAGCGGCCCCAUUAGGACUGGACUGCGACACAGACUCCUCCGGUACGCAACGGUGGGGUAUAGUGUACUAGGGGCGGAAGCCUGAUGCAGCAACGCCGCGUGCGGGAUGACGAGCUGCGGGUUGUAAACCGCUUUCGCCUGGGACGAGGCGAGAGUGACGGUAAUGGGUAAAGAAGCACCGGCUAACUACGUG
This 468-nucleotide ribosomal RNA is filed under the name uncultured bacterium. Its description in RNAcentral is "partial 16S ribosomal RNA". It matches the Rfam family "Bacterial small subunit ribosomal RNA", at positions 28 to 507 of the family's 1533-position model. The record is from RNAcentral.